Molecule: long non-coding RNA, 343 nt
Filed under: Populus trichocarpa (black cottonwood)
Lineage: Eukaryota; Viridiplantae; Streptophyta; Magnoliopsida; Malpighiales; Salicaceae
Description: long non-coding RNA (PTRI_LNC000505)
Source: RNAcentral
CACAUCAGACAACAGCUGUGGUCACCUUGCAUGGACAAUUGUACGUCCGUGUCCCAUUUGAGGAGUCAGACUGAUCAGUUGAAAAAGGUCCAUGCCUCUUAAAGACACAAGCGAAUUGCCAUUAGGGCAACGAAGCUAAUUGUUGGAGCUGGAUGGAUUUCAGACAUGGUUGUAAUUGCCUUGUGUUAGAUUAGUACUUAACCGUGUUGAUACUAUCUAGGUCGGAGGCUUUUUUUAAUUCAAGUUAUCCAUGGGACGUGUUAUAUGUUUUUGCUUGUGAGCUUUAUCCACAUCGAACUUGCAUAUUUUCAUAAUGUUAUUGCAAGUUUCUCUCUGAUCUCUU